CGACAGGUAGGAUCGGGAGGAUAGUCGUCUCCCCUUGUCCUGAAACCGACUACAUGCAGGGGUCAGUAACCGUCGGGUAAAGCACGGAGAGGAAUGUACUUCCCUGUCCUGCAGGGAGGAACCCACGCCACGUCGGGCUGCCAUAGGAGCGCGCCUUUCGAAGGGAAGGUUGCGACUUUGAACCGUCGAAUCGGGUGAGAUCCGGGAGGGAGCAACCCUAAGAUGGAAUGACCGCGCUGACGUGUCUACGCGGAGGACCUGUAAAGUCAGGAAAAAGGCAUCCCAUUCGUGUGAACACUGGCGGGGCUGUCG
RNAcentral lists this signal recognition particle RNA (312 nucleotides) under Nitrososphaerota archaeon. RNAcentral describes it as "signal recognition particle sRNA". It matches the Rfam family "Archaeal signal recognition particle RNA". Lineage: Archaea; Thermoproteati; Nitrososphaerota. The record is from RNAcentral.